UGGGGAAUAUUGCACAAUGGGCGCAAGCCUGAUGCAGCAACGCCGCGUGAAGGAAGACGGUUUUCGGAUUGUAAACUCCUGUUGUUGAGGAAGAUAAUGACGGUACUCAACAAGGAAGUGACGGCUAACUACGUGCCAGCAGCCGCGGUAAUA
This 153-nucleotide ribosomal RNA is filed under the name uncultured Bacillota bacterium. RNAcentral's name for it is "uncultured Firmicutes bacterium partial 16S ribosomal RNA". It matches the Rfam family "Bacterial small subunit ribosomal RNA", at positions 355 to 525 of the family's 1533-position model. The record is from RNAcentral. Lineage: Bacteria; Bacillati; Bacillota.